Molecule: long non-coding RNA, 2730 nt
Organism: Cydia splendana
Lineage: Eukaryota; Metazoa; Arthropoda; Insecta; Lepidoptera; Tortricidae
Exons: 3
Source: RefSeq, a predicted model, not a curated record
UUCUUGUAUGUGUUUAAGAAUAAUUCCAGUGAUGGGAGGAUCCAUGAGAACCAGAAGCGUUUGAAAAUUGAUAGGCCGCGGAAUAUUUUUCGGUAAAACAUCAUAUAAAGAGUGGUUAAGUCUGUUGCAAGAAAAGAAAAUGUGUUCUGUCGUUCCUUCGUCAAGACCGCACUCGCAUAAAGAGCUAUCCCGCACCCUAAUUUUUGCGAGGAAUACAGGAGUGCAUACGUGACCCAAACGAAGCCGGCAAAGUGUAGACGUGGCCCAUUUACAUGCAGAGCGAAAACGGAAGAACCAUGGUUUAUGAGUUUCAGGAUGAAUGGGGAAAUCAUUUUCAUUUUGAGCUGGUUACCAGAUACGGCUUGGAGGCAGCUUUUGGCAUCAGAGAAAAUGAUAACUUUGGGAAUUUUGUGAGACUCAACAUAUGCAACUGCUUCCAUUAAGGCAAUUGAUUCCCCAGUGAAGACGGAGGACUGUGAAGGACAUUUAUAUGAUAAAAGAAUGCGGUAUCUAGGGAUCCAGAUUGCUGCUCCCACACAGCUAUUGAGGUUCAAUUUUGAUGCAUCUGUGUAGAUUGAUACCAAAGAUGAGAGAGCCUGUAAGCGAGGAAUGAGGGGGUGGCUGGAUAUUGAACAUGCCCUCAAAACAUAUCGGUCUGCAAGGAGUUGCCUGCGGAGACAAAGAGGAGGAUCCACACACUCCACCUGCAUGCCAUUCUUUGGUGAGGAUCUCAUGGCACCAAGGAUUAUCUGAAGACAUUUGGCUUGGAUAGCAUCUAGUUUCUUGAGAGCUACUUUAUUGCAUGGUUCUAGAACAAAUGUACCAUAGUCCAUUUGGCUACGAAUUACGGCAUUGUAAACAAGUUUUUGGCAGUAGGGAUGAGCACCCCACCAGACCCCAGAAAGGGAUCGGAGCACAUUAAUGCCUUUUUCACACUUGUCAAUGACAUGCUUUAAAUGUGGAACACCAGUCAUUUUGGAGUCAAAAAUAACACCCAGAAAUUUUACACUGCUGCUGUUGGGAAUAAUCUGGUCUUCAUAUUGAAGAAUAAUAUUAGGAAUGGUAUGGCGGCGCGUAAAAGUGACUGUGCAACAUUUGGAGGGUGAAAGUGAAAGACCAUGCUCAUCCAACCAGUCUUUGAGGUACACCAGGGCCUCAUUCAAUCUAGAAGACGCUUCAUCUAAAUUGUGAACUGCGGUAUAGACAACCAAGUCAUCGGCAUAUUGCAGGAUGUUGCAGAAGGGGAGGACAGAUUGCUCAACAUCAAAUGUAUAAAGGUUAUAUAAAAGAGGGCUGAGAACGGAGCCUUGGGGGAGGCCUUGCCAUACUGUUAAAGGUGGGUAGAAGGUAUUCCCAGUUCUAAUUUUAAUGGUUCUUCCCAUGAACAGUCUGCAGACAAUUUGUACAAUUCUCGCAGGUAUGCUCAGCUGUAGCAGUUUUGCUCUGAGCAGAGAGAGUUGCACAUUGUCGUAAGCAGAUGAGAUAUCUAGGAAGCACCCAACAAGUUGCUGCUUCUUAGAGAGGGCCAGUCUAAUAUCAGAAGUUAAAAUGGUUAAGCUGUCCAAGGUACUUCUUCCCUUGCGGAAUCCAAAUUGGGUAUUAGCUAGAAUUCCUUUAUUCUCAACCAACCAUUCCACUCUGUUCUUCACCAAGUGUUCAAAAAUCUUUCCUAUUGUUGCAGAUAAUGCGAUAGGGCGGUAGGAAGAUGCUUGGCGAGGAUCUUUGCCUGGCUUCAAGAUUGGGAUUACUACUUGGGACUUCCAAUCCUCAGGGACUUCGCCAGACAUGAAGAACAAAUUGAAGAGUUUUAGAAGGUGGUCUUUGGAAGGGGGGCUCAAUUUUUGGAUGAAGCAAUACGGAAUUCCAUCUUCUCCAGGUGAGCUGUUACGGAGACCGGUUAGAACCAUGUCAAGUUCUGAGAUAGAAAAGGGGUUGUCUAAUGGAACUAGAUGUGAAGCGGAAACUGGAUUUAUACACCACUCUUCUGGGACAGAUGGAGGGGCCAGUUUGUUUGCAAAUUCUUCCAGCCAGGUAGAAGGAUCGCAAGAUGAUGAGGGAUCGGACUUAAAAGAUCCUCGAAAUUUUUUGAUAUUUCUCCAAACCAGUGAAGAUGGGGUUCUGGGAUUAAGGCUUUCGCAAAAUCCUUUCCAUCCCUUCUUUUUUGUUUUGUUAAGAAGGCGUUUGGUUUGGGCAGAGAUUUUUUUAAAAGAAGUAAAAUCUGCAGUGAGUCCAGUCAAAUUAUACCUCCGUUCUGCAUCGUCUCUCUCCUUAACUGCUGCAGUGCAGUCCGAAUUCCACCAAGGUGGAGAUGGUAAUUUAGAACUAGAAGGUUUUUUCUUAGGAAUAUGAUUAUCAGCUGCUUCUAGAAUUAUAGAUUUAAACAAGGAAUACUUUUCAAGGGGACUUAUUACAUGAUCUAAUACUUUUAAUUUAUCCUCAACUUGAGCUGAGUAAUUGGGCCAAUCAGCCUUAUCAAGCUUAUAUUUUAAAAGAGGUUCCGGAGAUGGAAGAGGCGAUACUGAAGAUGGCUUAGAAAUUAUUAUAGGAAAGUGAUCACUUCCGAAAGAUUGAUUUAGAACCUGAUAGGAGAGCAGACUAGAAAGAUUAGGAGAGCAAGCAGACAGAUCUAAGACCGACUUGGGGUUCUGGCCAGGGUAUACUCGGUGAGUGGGAGUACCAUCAUUAAUUAUUAUUACAUUGAUAUCAUCAAACAGGUCAAUGAGAAAUGAG